GAUGAACGCUGGCGGCGUGCCUAAUACAUGCAAGUCGAGCGAACGGACGAGAAGCUUGCUUCUCUGAUGUUAGCGGCGGACGGGUGAGUAACACGUGGAUAACCUACCUAUAAGACUGGGAUAACUUCGGGAAACCGGAGCUAAUACCGGAUAAUAUUUUGAACCGCAUGGUUCAAAAGUGAAAGACGGUCUUGCUGUCACUUAUAGGUGGAUCCGCGCUGCAUUAGCUAGUUGGUAAGGUAACGGCUUACCAAGGCAACGAUGCAUAGCCGACCUGAGAGGGUGAUCGGCCACACUGGAACUGAGACACGGUCCAGACUCCUACGGGAGGCAGCAGUAGGGAAUCUUCCGCAAUGGGCGAAAGCCUGACGGAGCAACGCCGCGUGAGUGAUGAAGGUCUUCGGAUCGUAAAACUCUGUUAUUAGGGAAGAACAUAUGUGUAAGUAACUGUGCACAUCUUGACGGUACCUAAUCAGAAAGCCACGGCUAACUACGUGCCAGCAGCCGCGGUAAUACGUAGGUGGCAAGCGUUAUCCGGAAUUAUUGGGCGUAAAGCGCGCGUAGGCGGUUUUUUAAGUCUGAUGUGAAAGCCCACGGCUCAACCGUGGAGGGUCAUUGGAAACUGGAAAACUUGAGUGCAGAAGAGGAAAGUGGAAUUCCAUGUGUAGCGGUGAAAUGCGCAGAGAUAUGGAGGAACACCAGUGGCGAAGGCGACUUUCUGGUCUGUAACUGACGCUGAUGUGCGAAAGCGUGGGGAUCAAACAGGAUUAGAUACCCUGGUAGUCCACGCCGUAAACGAUGAGUGCUAAGUGUUAGGGGGUUUCCGCCCCUUAGUGCUGCAGCUAACGCAUUAAGCACUCCGCCUGGGGAGUACGACCGCAAGGUUGAAACUCAAAGGAAUUGACGGGGACCCGCACAAGCGGUGGAGCAUGUGGUUUAAUUCGAAGCAACGCGAAGAACCUUACCAAAUCUUGACAUCCUUUGACAACUCUAGAGAUAGAGCCUUCCCCUUCGGGGGACAAAGUGACAGGUGGUGCAUGGUUGUCGUCAGCUCGUGUCGUGAGAUGUUGGGUUAAGUCCCGCAACAAGCGCAACCCUUAAGCUUAGUUGCCAUCAUUAAGUUGGGCACUCUAAGUUGACUGCCGGUGACAAACCGGAGGAAGGUGGGGAUGACGUCAAAUCAUCAUGCCCCUUAUGAUUUGGGCUACACACGUGCUACAAUGGACAAUACAAAGGGCAGCGAAACCGCGAGGUCAAGCAAAUCCCAUAAAGUUGUUCUCAGUUCGGAUUGUAGUCUGCAACUCGACUACAUGAAGCUGGAAUCGCUAGUAAUCGUAGAUCAGCAUGCUACGGUGAAUACGUUCCCGGGUCU
RNAcentral lists this ribosomal RNA (1372 nucleotides) under uncultured bacterium. RNAcentral's name for it is "bacterial SSU rRNA". It matches the Rfam family "Bacterial small subunit ribosomal RNA", at positions 28 to 1381 of the family's 1533-position model. The record is from RNAcentral.